This 482-nucleotide ribosomal RNA is filed under the name uncultured bacterium. Its description in RNAcentral is "bacterial SSU rRNA". It matches the Rfam family "Bacterial small subunit ribosomal RNA", at positions 29 to 507 of the family's 1533-position model. The record is from RNAcentral.
AUUGAACGCUGGCGGCAUGCCUUACACAUGCAAGUCGAGCGGCAGCGCGGGGCAACCUGGCGGCGAGCGGCGAACGGGUGAGUAAUACAUCGGAACGUACCCAGUUGUGGGGGAUAGCCCGGCGAAAGCCGGAUUAAUACCGCAUACGACCUGAGGGUGAAAGGGGGGGAUCGCAAGACCUCUCGCAGUUGGAGCGGCCGAUGGCGGAUUAGCUAGUUGGUAGGGUAAAGGCCUACCAAGGCGACGAUCCGUAGCUGGUCUGAGAGGACGACCAGCCACACUGGAACUGAGACACGGUCCAGACUCCUACGGGAGGCAGCAGUGGGGAAUUUGGACAAUGGGGGCAACCCUGAUCCAGCCAUUCCGCGUGAGUGAAGAAGGCCUUCGGGUUGUAAAGACUCUUUCGGCAGGAACGAAACGGUGGUCCCUAAUACGGAUUGCUAAUGACGGUACCUGAAGAAGAAGCACCGGCUAACUACGUG